CCCGAAUUGCCUAAUUAACACCCGAUAAGGGUCGGGAAAAAUCCCACAAAGCAUCCAAUAAAUACUACAUGCAAUUCUCUAUCUAAUUAUACUAAUCACAUCACUAAUAUACAAAGCAAUUAACUAAUAAUCACUAAUCAAUUCUAAUCUAACAACCUAAUUACACUUAAUUAACACUAAUCAACCUUUAAGUAUAAUUAGCAAACUAAGAAGGCAUUAGUGAGUAAAACUCACUCAAAACGACGGGCUCGACGCGAGGAUCAACUUUCCUCAAAGCGGGCCGAGCAUCCGGGCUCGGGAAGGCGGCCAAAACGGGCUAAAACCCCUCUGCGAUACCCAUUUCUGCACUCUCUGUGCGCGGCUGGUUGAGGCCGUUCCGGGGUCGAUUGAGGUGGCCAAGGGCAGCUAGAGUCCGGUGGAGCUCCGGCGGGUUGAAGUGGCGGCGUAUGGUGGCCGGAGGUGGCUGAACCGUGGCUUGUGCUGGCCAAAAUGGAGCUGAACAGAGGCGGAACAGGGGUUGGACAGCAGCUCUGGAACAACGAGUUGGGCGAGAGGGAGACCGAGCUGAGCAGAGCAGCGGCGGAGCGCACGGCGUCGCGCGAGCGGUGGUGCGGUAGCUCCGGUCCAGCAACGCCAGCUGCUGCCCCAACUCCGGUGUCCUCCCAGAUCUGAAACCCUGAGCAGCGAACGGAGGGGAAGACAGAGGUGCUGACGGCGGCUGGAAUGGGUGAGGGAGAGGUGGAGAGCGAGCGCGCACGGCCGAGGAGCAGCGACGGCGUGCGGCGUGAGGUGGCGACGACGGUCUUGGCUCCGGCACGGCUGUAGCCCUUCAACGCAACUGACCUCUGUUUCUGCUUCUGCUUUGUUCGAACAAGAAGGGCGGAAGAGAGAGGGACGGGGCUGUGCACGGGCAGCAGAACGGCGGACAGCAGCGACUCCGGCUCCGGUUGCUUGCUGCAUCGACAUUGAGAGGAAUCGCUACUUCGGCCUGCUGGUUCGCUGAUCUUCAGCUUCCAUGGAGUCUUGAAGAAAAAGAAGAAGAUGGGGGAUGCAUUCGGUCGACGGAGGGGAGAGGGGAGGAAGAGAAAAUCAAUUUCUCAUUUUCCUCUCACACACUCUCUCUCUUAGGUCAGCCAUACGUGGGCACCACCAGCUGCCCUCCACUCACAAUUCCAAGACAAUUUUUCCCCUUCUAGAAGCAUUUAGGUAGGCCAAAAUGUGGGGGUAAGUGUGGCAUACGAAUUUUGCUAGGAUUUCUCUCCAAUUGGGCCUUAAUUCCUCUUGAAUUAAAUCAAAUUGACUCUCAUAAUUUCAUUUAACACCUCGUCAUUCCAAUUGGUAUUUUUUUUUUCUUAUCAAUAUAGCCCACUUACAUCACAAUUCCAAAAUCCUUAGCUUCAACUGAACCAAAGCGGCCCUAUUAUCCAAUCAAAAUUAGGACCCGAAAAUCUGGAUGUCACAACUCUUCCCCUCUUAUAAAAAUUUCGUCCUCGAAAUUUAAGCCUUUAACAAUCCUUAAACGAAAGGUGAGGGUAUCGUCGUCUCAUCGAGCCUAACUUUUUUUUUUCCCACGCUAACCCUUCGGUCUUGUGGCAUUGUCCGACCAUUUUGACCGAGGAGACCAUUUUGGUACACAAACUCUGCUCUUUCUGAAUCAACAACCGAACUAAACUUCUCACAUAAGACACUCUAUCAUCCACAUUUGAUCUCUUUUUCUCGACUCCCUAAUAAACCUUCGAACCUCAACGAUUCAAAAUUUAUGAUAGUUCUGAGCAGUCUUUACUCUGACGCUGAUCUGACAACUGCAAACACUGAUUACUGAGCUGACUCUGGACUUGCGAUUUUCUGAUUUCUGAUCUCAUCCCAACCGACUGAAAUCCUGUACACUCUGCCCUGUACUGAUUAAAAGGAAACUAUCUGACUGAUCUGCUAAAACUAGGAACCUCUGGUCAAGAUCUAAUAUAACUCUGGCACUGAUCUUGGCAACUGCAAUCACUGACUACUGUACUGACUUUGGCCUGAAAUCUUCUUCACUUUCUUUUUACCACUGAAAUUCUGUACCCUCUGUUAUGCACUACUUAAGAAAGAACCCUCUGAAAACUCUGCCAAACUUAUAAUCUCGGAUCUAGAUUUGAAAUAUAAUUCAUCCUCGGCACUCCAUGCCAGCGAAUUAUCUGAUGUACACACACACUUCGGUAUACCCACUCCGUGACAAGAUAGAAUCUUCAAUUUCUGAAAUCGAACUUAGAUUGGCGGUUAAUUUCAUUCCGACACACUUUUAGUGUAACCUAGGCUACUGGGUAGUGUUCAGAGCUUUUUACGACAAAUGACUUGUGGUCGAUUUUCUUCGAACCACGAUGAACCCACUCGACACAUUGGCAACUCUCAAUUGUCGUGAAAAUCUCAAAGAUUCAAAUACGGACACAGGGUACCAAACCGACAGUAAAGUCAAAUUAGUGCCAGUCGACGAGAGUUUUCCAAUUUAGUGGGGUCACCCACGAUUAGUCAUUCAUCUCAGUCGAGCCGACCUAUCUUUGAUCUCAAUUCGAUUUUUAACUGUGCCGUAAUGAUCUCUAAAGAUGAGCACGGUCGAGAAAUCGAUUCCUGGUCGAAUUCUUAGUCUAUCUGCCUUAAAGUCCUUAAUAACUCACCCAGCUAGUCUAGUUAUCUCAUGAGUGGCCAACUCAGAGAAAAGCACUAUAGCCACAUCGAUGAAAUGCCCAAUUUAUCUAAUCGAAAUCAGAGUCCAAAAAUCUGAAUGUUACCCACUCAAAACAAGAUCUAUUCACACUGUACCAAAGUGAACCAACUCCAUCUAUCGAUCGACCACUAUUCUCAAAUGGUAUCAGUAAUCCCCUGAAUCCUUAGUAAGCCAUAUAUUUCCAUUUCCACUUGGGACUCUCAAGUGAUGGUAACAAUUCUCCCGGUUCGCAUUACCAAGCUUCCACUUACUGACACUUCUGACACUCGCAGCCUGCUUAGCUGUAUUUAUCUUCAUAUCAGCUUGCUAAUCUAGCUGAUGCCGAUUCUGACUUACUUGCAUCAUCUGGUCAAAACUACAAUACUAUAAUGAACUUUCGACAAGAUCUUUUUCCUAAGUGCUGCACUGUCAAGUGUAUUCAAUCACUCAUGGAACCUGAACUUUCCAUUCUCAUAAAUCUUAAAGUCAGAUUCUUUAUUGCCAGUAUCCUCUUAUAAGAUCUUCUGAACAUCUUUGUCUCUCAACUAAAUGCUUGAUUCUAACUGGAAUGUUUGGUUCAAUCUUGAGGGUGGCUAUAAAAUUCAAAAGGUAGCCUGCCUCAAUUUUGAAAACCAAGCUUCGAAGUCUUUUCACGUAAAGUCUACACUUUAGCCAGUCUAUGCACAAUUAAAGACUCUCGGCUCAACACAUUAAUGGCUCAUUUCAUUCCUCCAAGGUGAUACCCAAUAUCACUAUUAUAGUUCUGCCAAAAUUCUAAUUCACGACACCGCUUCGUAUUCCACUGAUUGGGUCUCAACUGGCGGAACGGUGAUACAACAAUCUUCUCAUGUUGUAUCAAUGCAUACCCCGUCCUUUACAAGACACAUCACUGAAGAUUCCAUGCUUUCCAGAGCCAAAUGAAAAGUUUAGCACAAGUACGAUAGUCAGUUCUUAUUUAAGCUUUGGAAACUAUCCUCGUACUUGUCUAUGCUGAUGAAUUUCUCUUCUUUCUUAAGAGAUCAACCUCACGAUGAUGUUGAUGCUGAAAAUUCUUUCACAAACCUUCUGUAGUAAUCUAUCCAAUCCCCACAACUUCUGAUCUCUGACACUAUUGUCAAUCUUGAUCUGCUAACAAUUGAUUUGAUCUUGGCUGGGUCCAUGAAGAUUCCCUUACCUGUAACCACACGACCAUUUCUUAGGGGCUCUCGUGAUCCUCAUCACUUAAUGAACACCCUAGAACGUCGCUACACCACACGAUCACCAUUGAUCUAGAUAUUCUUUAAACACUCGAUUUGUCAAAUCCAUGACAGUGGCUGGAGCGUUCGUCAAAUCAAAUUGCUUCACAUUAUUCUCACCAGGGCAAAAUCAAGUGUGAAAUGUUGUCCUCAGUAUAACCUCCUUCCUAAUUCUCAACUGACGAUAAUUUGUCCUCAAGUCGAUUCUUGAAGACAUCAACACUUUUUAUAACAAGUCACCCAAUUCGUCAAUCUUUGAUAAUGAACACUUAUCCUUGAUUGUCACUUGAUUAAGUCGACUAUAGUUGAUGCAUAAUUGUAACAAACCAUCUUUCUUUCUUUCUUCACAGAACUAAUGUUCCCUAAAGUGAUGCACUGAUAUGCAUGAAUUCCUCAUUCAUCAAUCCUCACAUUUGCACAAUUGGUUCUAUCAAUUCAAGUAACAACAACUGAUAAGAAACUUUAAAGAAUGGUUCUGUUCCAGUUGCUAGCUUGUACGUAAUUCUAUCUCUUUCUUUCGCAACGGUCUGACCACUUUUCUGGCAAUACUUCUGAGAUUUCUUGGACUACUAAGGAGUCCUCAAUUUUCAUUCUUCAAUCUGUCUUCUUUUUGACAAUCAUCAAGUAACCUGGGCAACCUCUGUCUAACAAACGGAUUGCCUCAAGUUACGAGAUUAAAGAAGUCGAUGACCCUUCUCGAUUCUCAAUAAAACUUGGCAUUUCUACCUUCUCUUGGAAUAAAUUGGGUUACACCACUAUAAAAAUUCAUCACCACAAAAUACUCCAUAACCAAUUCUUUCCACACUUGACGAAUAAAUUUUUACACCAAUAACCAAUCGAGUACAACUCUAGUCAAUCGUUCUUUUCCUACAGCCUUAACAAACAACUAAAAUUCCACACUUGUAUUCCCAACACUCUUUGGCACCAUUCCGAUAAAAUCACCUCAAAACAUUAUUCCAUUGAAUAAGGCAUAGUCAAUUCCAUUCAUGUUCCUUUUGCCAUCCUAAUGGCGUCUCAUCUGCGGUAUCGGUAUCAAUGCUCUCUUGGACUCACACUGAUAGUUUUUUCACCUGACAGCCGUGCUAACUACCAUCAUAGCACGUUUUAGCCAUUCUCAAACAUAGGAUUAAUCCAUGCAUUCCUUCCAUUCUUUUGACAUUUAUCUGGUGAGUCUUCUACCUCUUGUCAAGUGCUAGCAUGCACUAUUUCUUGUACUAGAGACUUAUCCCAGAAAUUCCACAGUGCGUUCUAUGGCGUACUUCUCCUAAACUGUUCUACCAACAGUGACAGCAGUAACUGUUGUCAAGAUUCCAUCUUCUUAUGCGGAUACACCAUAAAUCACUGUCUGUACUGGCGACACUUACCACAAUUUCCUGUCCUCAAAAUACACAAGACUGAUCUAUACCAUCUUCCAUAGAACAACAUGUUCCAUUAAUCUGAAGGCUAUCCUGCCUAUGCCACCCCUCUUAUUGGGUGGAAUAGAAUACUCUUCCCUCAACAUCAGUCCUUUCCCUUGACCGAAUUCCAAAUCUGCUUCGCUGAAUCUGGACUCAUAUAUCGAAAUAUGUUCCCUGACUAUCCUUCCAGGUUAAACCUCAGCAAGAUAGCAACAACAACAACUUGAUUCUGAUCUUACUGGCUCAUCCAGAUCCCAAGAAACACUUGCAUCAAAUCAAUCUUAUCGGGCCUAGGAUCAAUCAACGCUGCUACACUAGUACCAACCUGCGGUGGCACUCUUACGCUCAAGCUGGCCAGAGUCAACACUCUGCCUUCCGAAUCCACAACGAUUAAAAGCAAGCAAUUCACACCCGAAAAGCAAUUCUACCAAUCAGCUAUCAAAGACAUGCACCAGUCAUGAAUUUAAAGGCCUUUCCUAUUACUAUCCCAUAGGUCAUCGCACCUUAUCACUCCAAUACCUAACCAUUGCUCUGAUACCACAAAAAGGGAAUGUCACGCCCCGACCCUCAGGCACGCACACAUCCCUUACUGUUGGUCGAUUUUAAAAAUGCGAUAUCCCAGGACUAUGUAUCGCCGACCCUUUCAUUUAUAUAUGCACAUGCGGAAGCAGUUAUAAAUCCCCAAACAAUAAAGCAAUGGGAUAGAAAAGCAGGCCAUACAUUUUUCAUACUGAAAAUUCACAACUACAGCUUUUUACAUGCAAACAAGGUCUGACAAGACAGGAUAGGAUUUCGAUCCUCAACCGAGUUGUACUCGAUGUCAUACUCGGGGUCCUCCUCCACGUACUCCUCUUUGGGUUCCUCAACAGAGAUCUCCUCAUCAGAUUCAUGCUCCUCAAGCUCCUUAUCCAGGUCCUGAAAUGGUUAUUCAAUAACCACUGAGACCACGUCUCAGCAAGUUCUACUUCCUAAGACCCGAUUAGUAAACUAAUACACCUUAGGGCUGCCUAUGCACAACAUGAGUCAGAGGACUUACCUUGGCCUCAGAUUCCACCUGCAUAUUAGUACAGAUUAAAUAGGCACCCAAGCAAACCCAUCACAGAUCGAAGCAUCGAUCAAAUCGACCUAGUCGAUUUCACGUCAACAAGACCACUCACGGUCAUUUCCACUAUUCCAACCAAUUUACAACAUCAAUUCAAGGCAAUGAUCAAUCGACCUAGUCGAUUACAUAUCAACAAGACCACUUCUGGUCAUUUCAACUAUUCCAAUUCAAUUCCCAAUUAUGAAUCAUGGUCCUUAGGACACAACUUAAUUAUAGGUGGUAAUCAUGGCCCCACCAAGCAAUUUUCUUAGAUUUAGUGGCAUCACGGCCCCACCCGGCAACUUUUAAUAUGUAGUGGCAUCACAGUCCCACUCGGCAAUGCUAUAUGUAGUGGCAUCACUGCCCCACUCGGCAACUUUCAAUAUGUAGUGGCAUCACGGCCCCACUCGGCAAUGUUAUAUGUAGUGGCAUCACGGCCCCACUCGGCAACUUUCAAUAUGUAGUGGCAUCACGGCCCCACUCGGCAAUGUUAUAUGUAGUGGCAUCACGGCCCCACUCGGCAACUUUCAAUAUGUAGUGGCAUCACGGCCCCACUCGGCAAUGUCAUAUGUAGUGGCAUCACGGCCCCACUCGGCAACUUUCAAUAUGUAGUGGCAUCACGGCCCCACUCGGCAACUUUCAAUAUGUAGUGGCAUCACGGCCCCACUCGGCAAUGUUAUAUGUAGUGGCAUCACGGCCCCACUCGGCAAUGUUAUAUGUAGUGGCAUCACGGCCCCACUCGGCAACUUUCAAUAUGUAGUGGCAUCACGGCCCCACUCGGCAAUGUCAUAUGUAGUGGCAUCACGGCCCCACUCGGCAACGUUAUAUGUAGUGGCAUCACGGCCCCACUCGGCAACUUUCAGUAUGUAGUGGCAUCACGGCCCCACUCGGCAACUUUCAAUAUGUAGUGGCAUCACGGCCCCACUCGGCAAUGUCAUAUGUAGUGGCAUUAUCAACCGAUGCCCGGUUAUUCUUCAAUUAAUAACCAAAGAUGAUUCAAUUUAGGAAUAAAUCCUAAAAUCAUUGAUAAAUCAAUUUAGCACAAAAUCAAGCUCAAUUAAAUAAACAGACUGUACAAUGACAAUCAGCACGAAAUUUCGGUCGCUGGCCAUCCCAGUUGAAUUUUCGGAAAAAUAAAUAAUUAAACAAUUAAUUCCGAAAAUUAAAUAAAUACAUACAAUAAAUUCAAUUUAGCAUAAUAUAAAAUUCAAUUAAAUAAACGGACUGCACCACGAUCAUCAGCAUAAAAUUUCGGUUCCAGACCAUCUCAAUUGAAUUUUCGGAAAAUAAAUAAUUAAUUAAUUCCGUAAAAUAAUAUUAAAAUACCAAAAAAAUCUCACUUAUGCCCGAAUUGCCUAAUUAACACCCGAUAAGGGUCGGGAAAAAUCCCACAAAGCAUCCAAUAAAUACUACAUGCAAUUCUCUAUCUAAUUAUACUAAUCACAUCACUAAUAUACAAAGCAAUUAACUAAUAAUCACUAAUCAAUUCUAAUCUAACAACCUAAUUACACUUAAUUAACACUAAUCAACCUUUAAGUAUAAUUAGCAAACUAAGAAGGCAUUAGUGAGUAAAACUCACUCAAAACGACGGGCUCGACGCGAGGAUCAACUUUCCUCAAAGCGGGCCGAGCAUCCGGGCUCGGGAAGGCGGCCAAAACGGGCCAAAACCCCUCUGCGAUACCCAUUUCUGCACUCUCUGUGCGUGGCUGGUUGAGGCCGUUCCGGGGUCGAUUGAGGUGGCCAAGGGCAGCUAGAGUCCGGUGGAGCUCCGGCGGGUUGAAGUGGCGGCGCAUGGUGGCCGGAGGUGGCUGAACCGUGGCUUGUGCUGGCCAAAAUGGAGCUGAACAGAGGCGGAACAGGGGUUGGACAGCAGCUCUGGAACAACGAGUUGGGCGAGAGGGAGACCGAGCUGAGCAGAGCAGCGGCGGAGCGCACGGCGUCGCGCGAGCGGCGGUGCGGCAGCUCCGGUCCAGCAACGCCAGCUGCUGCCCCAACUCCGGUGUCCUCCCAGAUCUGAAACCUUGAGCAGCGAACGGAGGGGAAGACAGAGGUGCCGACGGCGGCUGGAAUGGGUGAGGGAGAGGUGGAGAGCGAGCGCGCACGGCCGAGGAGCAGCGACGGCGUGCGGCGUGAGGUGGCGACGACGGUCUUGGCUCCGGCACGGCUGUAGCCCUUCAACGCAACUGACCUCUGUUUCUGCUUCUGCUUUGUUCGAACAAGAAGGGCGGAAGAGAGAGGGACGGGGCUGUGCACGGGCAGCAGGACGGCGGACAGCAGCGACUCCGGCUCCGGUUGCUUGCUGCAUCGACGCCGAGAGGAAUCGCUACUUCGGCCUGCUGGUUCGCUGAUCUUCAGCUUCCAUGGAGUCUUGAAGAAAAAGAAGAAGAUGGGGGAUGCAUUCGGUCGACGGAGGGGAGAGGGGAGGAAGAGAAAAUCAAUUUCUCAUU
RNAcentral lists this long non-coding RNA (8840 nucleotides) under Eucalyptus grandis. RNAcentral describes it as "long non-coding RNA (EGRA_LNC006444)". The record is from RNAcentral. Lineage: Eukaryota; Viridiplantae; Streptophyta; Magnoliopsida; Myrtales; Myrtaceae.